UACGUAGGGGGCUAGCGUUGUCCGGAAUUAUUGGGCGUAAAGAGCGUGUAGGCGGCCGAGUAAGUCCGACGUGAAAUCUGGAGGCUCAACCUCCAGCGGUUGUUGGAAACUACUCGGCUAGAGUCCGGAAGAGGAGAGUGGAAUUCCUGGUGUAGCGGUGAAAUGCGCAGAUAUCAGGAAGAACACCGAUGGCGAAAGCAGCUCUCUGGGACGGUACUGACGCUGAGACGCGAAAGCGUGGGGAGCGAACAGG
Molecule: ribosomal RNA, 253 nt
Filed under: uncultured bacterium
Lineage: Bacteria
Description: partial 16S ribosomal RNA
Rfam family: Bacterial small subunit ribosomal RNA
Source: RNAcentral